GUGGUGAUGUAGGAUCUGUGGUGAUGUAGAAGGGCAGCAGGGCAGCAGCCUCAACGCCACAGGUAACCGCUGAGGAUGUUUAAAAAGGACACCACCAAUAGCAGAGCACUCUAUUGCUGCAAUUAUAUGCAGCGUGUGUGUAUGAUGUUGUUGGGUUGUUGAAAUGGCCCGUG
Triticum aestivum (bread wheat) is the source of this 173-nucleotide long non-coding RNA. RefSeq lists it as uncharacterized. The record is from RefSeq and is a predicted model, not a curated record. The transcript is spliced from 3 exons. Lineage: Eukaryota; Viridiplantae; Streptophyta; Magnoliopsida; Poales; Poaceae.